Molecule: long non-coding RNA, 392 nt
Filed under: Coffea arabica (coffee)
Lineage: Eukaryota; Viridiplantae; Streptophyta; Magnoliopsida; Gentianales; Rubiaceae
Description: long non-coding RNA (CARA_LNC006424)
Source: RNAcentral
GCCGGAGAAGCCUAAAGAGCCCGAAAAGCCUAAGCCACCCCCAGAAAAGCCCAAAGAGCCGGAAAAGCCCAAGCCACCCCCAGAAAAGCCCAAAGAGCCGGAAAAGCCCAAGCCACCUCCAGAAAAGCCGAAGGAGCCCGAAAAGCCCAAGCCACCCCCGGAAAAGCCCAAAGAGCCGGAAAAGCCCAAGCCACCUCCAGAAAAGCCGAAGGAGCCCGAAAAGCCCAAGCCACCUCCAGAAAAGCCCAAACCACUACCACCACCACCUGAACCGUGCUCGCACCCACCAGUUCCAGUGGGCUUUUGUUGUGUCCCAUGUUCGGAAGGGUACGGCGGGGGACCAUGCUACUACGGGUACGGGUACGGGUACGGGCGGCCUGUGCCCCCGCCAC